UUUUACUAUGAAGAGUUUGAUCCUGGCUCAGGAUGAACGCUAGCUACAGGCUUAACACAUGCAAGUCGAGGGGCAGCAUGGACUUAGCUUGCUAAGUCCGAUGGCGACCGGCGCACGGGUGAGUAACGCGUAUCCAACCUUCCCAUGGCUUCGGGAUAGCCCGGUGAAAACCGGAUUAAUACCGUAUAGUGUCCCUUGACGGCAUCCGACGGGGACUAAAGCUUUUGCGGCGAUGGAUGGGGAUGCGUCCGAUUAGCUUGUUGGCGGGGUAACGGCCCACCAAGGCGACGAUCGGUAGGGGUUCUGAGAGGAAGGUCCCCCACACUGGAACUGAGACACGGUCCAGACUCCUACGGGAGGCAGCAGUGAGGAAUAUUGGUCAAUGGGCGGAAGCCUGAACCAGCCAAGUAGCGUGCAGGAUGACGGCCCUACGGGUUGUAAACUGCUUUUAUACGGGAAUAACGUGCACUACGUGUAGUGCCUUGCAUGUACCGUAUGAAUAAGGACCGGCUAAUUCCGUGCCAGCAGCCGCGGUAAUACGGAAGGUCCGGGCGUUAUCCGGAUUUAUUGGGUUUAAAGGGAGCGUAGGCCGCAUGUCAAGCGUGCUGUUAAAUGUCCGGGCUCAACCCGGGCAUGCGGCGCGAACUGGCGUGCUUGAGUCCGCGGAAAGCAGGCGGAAUUCGUCGUGUAGCGGUGAAAUGCUUAGAUAUGACGAAGAACCCCGAUUGCGAAGGCAGCUUGCUGCAGCGGCACUGACGCUGAUGCUCGAAAGCGCGGGUAUCGAACAGGAUUAGAUACCCUGGUAGUCCGCGCGGUAAACGAUGGAUGCCCGCUGUGCGCCUUUUUGGUGCGCGGCCAAGCGAAAGCGUUAAGCAUCCCACCUGGGGAGUACGCCGGCAACGGUGAAACUCAAAGGAAUUGACGGGGGCCCGCACAAGCGGAGGAACAUGUGGUUUAAUUCGAUGAUACGCGAGGAACCUUACCCGGGCUUGAACUGCAGCUGCAUGGGGUGGAGACACCCCUUCCCUUCGGGGCUGCUGCGGAGGUGCUGCAUGGUUGUCGUCAGCUCGUGCCGUGAGGUGUCGGCUUAAGUGCCAUAACGAGCGCAACCCCUCUCUCCAGUUGCCAUCAGGCUAUGCUGGGCACUCUGGAGACACUGCCGCCGCAAGGUGCGAGGAAGGCGGGGAUGACGUCAAAUCAGCACGGCCCUUACGUCCGGGGCUACACACGUGUUACAAUGGCGCAUACAGAAAGCAGGUGUCGUGCAAACGCCACCAAAUCCUGAAAGUGCGCCCUAGUUCGGAUUGGGGUCUGCAACCCGACCCCAUGAAGCUGGAUUCGCUAGUAAUCGCGCAUCAGCCAUGGCGCGGUGAAUACGUUCCCGGGCCUUGUACACACCGCCCGUCAAGCCAUGAAAGCCGGGGGCGCCUGAAGUCCGUGACCGCGAGGGUCGGCCUAGGGUGAAACCGGUGAUUGGGGCUAAGUCGUAACAAGGUAGCCGUACCGGAAGGUGCGGCUGGAACACCUCCUUUCU
This 1534-nucleotide ribosomal RNA is filed under the name Bacteroidales bacterium. Its description in RNAcentral is "bacterial SSU rRNA". It matches the Rfam family "Bacterial small subunit ribosomal RNA". Lineage: Bacteria; Pseudomonadati; Bacteroidota; Bacteroidia; Bacteroidales. The record is from RNAcentral.